GGGUACCCGGACCUGCCCAACGACCGUUCUCCAUUCCCGACCUCCGCACCCUACCCGGUCCGCAGGGCACCUUCCUCCUCUCUCUCAGGCACGUCCUCGACCUCAGUUGCCACGUGCACAUGCUGGUGCCUUCCAGGUCGGUCUUUCUCCACCAGACUCCACCUGGAACUUUCUUCCUUUUCGUCCUGUGCUGGCCUAACCCCUGCUCGGCCUCGGCCCUCAGCUGCCGGCUCUAACAAAGCCUCUGUCUUUCCCAGACCCCUGUGACCAGGCUGGAGUAUAGUGGCAUGAUCAUAGAUCACUGCAGCCUCAAACUCCUGGGCUCAAGCGAUCCUCCCACCUCAGCCUCCAUAUAGCUGGUGGGGACCAAGUUUCUAACACAUGAAUGUUGGGAGACACAUUCAGACCAUCGCAGUGGCCUUAUAAAAAGAGACACAAGAGCUUGCUCUCUGCCAUGUGAGAAUACCACAAGAAGACUGUCCUCAGCAAAUCAGAAAGCGGGUGGACCCUCAUCAGACACCAGAUGUGCCUGCACCUUGAUCUUGGACUUGCCAGCCUUCAGAACAGUAAGAAAGAAAUGUGUGUUGUUUAAGCCACCCAGUCUAUGGUAACUUGCUAUAGCAGCCCACUAGGAGACCCCAAGAUAUUUAAAAACUCAUCAGCACCUGCUUUCUGCAUCUGGACCCUGAUCUUCUGGUGGGUUUACCAGUUACUUGUAGAGUGUCCCUGUGAUAGUUUUAGGUGUCAACUUGACAGGAUUGAGGGAUGCCUAGAUGGCUGGGGAAGCACUGUUUCUGAGAAGGACCAUGUUUUUGGAGGAGACUGUUUUAUGAGUGAAUUUCAGGGGACACAUUCAGAUCAUGGCAGUGGCAUUAUAAAGAGAGACACAAAAGCUUGCUCUCUCUCUCUGCCAUGUAAGACUACCACACAAAGACUGCCAUCUGCAAACCAGAAGCAGGUGGGCCUUCCAACUUGGAUCAGGCCAUGCCACCGGCUUCUCUGAUUCUCCAGCUUGCAGAUGGUAUAUUGUGACCCUGGCAUUUAAUAACUAUGACUUUGGUCUUAAGCAAUUUUCUUCCUCUGUGGAUUGAUAUUUACAUAUCAAUGUGGAUAAUAAUUUCUUACCACGGUAACUGUUGUGAGGUAAAAAUGAGUUAACAUAAGUAAAACCGAGCACAUGCAAACCAUCCGAAAUGGUUAAUACUUACUAUUUGUACUUGAAGAAAUAAAUGUUUUUGACAAUAAACUUCUUGUGCAGUUUUCCUCA
RNAcentral lists this long non-coding RNA (1267 nucleotides) under Homo sapiens (human). RNAcentral's name for it is "long intergenic non-protein coding RNA 847". The record is from RNAcentral. Lineage: Eukaryota; Metazoa; Chordata; Mammalia; Primates; Hominidae.